Equus quagga is the source of this 698-nucleotide long non-coding RNA. RefSeq lists it as uncharacterized. The record is from RefSeq and is a predicted model, not a curated record. Lineage: Eukaryota; Metazoa; Chordata; Mammalia; Perissodactyla; Equidae. The transcript is spliced from 3 exons.
CCCAGCCCGGGCGCGGUGCACGCUGGGUCUCGCCACCCGCCUGGGCCCGGGUCCGCUCGGGCGGCCCCCACAGCGCCCCCUGCGGCCGGGAGGAGCGGGCGCCGCCCCCGGGAGCCGCCUGCGCUGUGGGGCGGGGAGGGCCCGAGCCCCCGCGGCCGGUGCGGGAGGAUCCUCGCGCUCUCCUGGGGUCUCCAAGGGAGGGAGACGGAGAGGGGAAACGGAGAGUCAGCUGGAAGUGGAUGGACAGGAAACUCGCCCCUCACUGAGAUGGAGACGGAGAGGGGGAGUGUGGGGUUUGGUUCCUCCCCAGCGCUGACCCCAGUCAACGACUAGCUUCAUCUGUGAGGCGAUCCCAGGAAUCAAGCGAGGGAGAGUUCCUUGGUCACCUGGAGAGAAAAAAAGAGGGCCCAACUUCAUCAGUGAUGCGUCUGCACCAUGGUGGGGUUCAAGGACCACCUUCAUGUCACUAAGAAUGAUCUUGAUGACUCUGUGAAUCUGCCUGCCACAGGUGAUCAGAUCUGGCUUGGAAAAAACCCAGCCUGCAAAGAGAGUCCACAAAGACUCAGUAUGGAGUUCCUGAGUACUUGGCUAAAAACAAUUUUCACAGCUGACUGAUUCCUGGAGACAUGACAUCAAAAUCAGGUUAAAAAAAAAGGAAACCUUUAAAUGCAAAUCAAAACUACAGUAAGAUAUCACCU